AGUAACACGUAGGCAACCUGCCUGUAAGACUGGGAUAACUCGUGGAAACGCGAGCUAAUACCGGAUAACACUUUUCAUCUCCUGAUGAGAAGUUGAAAGGCGGCUUUUGCUGUCACUUACAGAUGGGCCUGCGGCGCAUUAGCUAGUUGGUAAGGUAAUGGCUUACCAAGGCGACGAUGCGUAGCCGACCUGAGAGGGUGAUCGGCCACACUGGGACUGAGACACGGCCCAGACUCCUACGGGAGGCAGCAGUAGGGAAUCUUCCGCAAUGGACGAAAGUCUGACGGAGCAACGCCGCGUGAGUGAUGAAGGUUUUCGGAUCGUAAAACUCUGUUGUUAGGGAAGAACAAGUGCCAUAGUAACUGAUGGCACCUUGACGGUACCUAACCAGAAAGCCACGGCUAACUACGUGCCAGCAGCCGCGGUAAUACGUAGGUGGCAAGCGUUGUCCGGAAUUAUUGGGCGUAAAGCGCUCGCAGGCGGUUCUUUAAGUCUGAUGUGAAAUCUUACGGCUCAACCGUAAACGUGCAUUGGAAACUGGGGAACUUGAGUGCAGAAGAGGAGAGUGGAAUUCCACGUGUAGCGGUGAAAUGCGUAGAG
This 600-nucleotide ribosomal RNA is filed under the name Oceanobacillus sp. H11-7. Its description in RNAcentral is "bacterial SSU rRNA". It matches the Rfam family "Bacterial small subunit ribosomal RNA", at positions 109 to 695 of the family's 1533-position model. The record is from RNAcentral. Lineage: Bacteria; Bacillati; Bacillota; Bacilli; Caryophanales; Bacillaceae.